Molecule: ribosomal RNA, 450 nt
Filed under: uncultured bacterium
Lineage: Bacteria
Description: bacterial SSU rRNA
Rfam family: Bacterial small subunit ribosomal RNA
Source: RNAcentral
GUGGGGAAUAUUGGACAAUGGGCGAAAGCCUGAUCCAGCCAUGCCGCGUGUGUGAAGAAGGUCUUCGGAUUGUAUAGCACUUUAAGUUGGGAGGAAGGGCAGUAAGUUAAUACCUUGCUGUUUUGACGUUACCGACAGAAUAAGCACCGGCUAACUUCGUGCCAGCAGCCGCGGUAAUACGAAGGGUGCAAGCGUUAAUCGGAAUUACUGGGCGUAAAGCGCGCGUAGGUGGUUUUGUAAGUUGGAGGUGAAAUCCCCGGGCUCAACCUGGGAACUGCCUCCAAAACUGCAUGACUAGAGUACGGUAGAGGGUAGUGGAAUUUCCUGUGUAGCGGUGAAAUGCGUAGAUAUAGGAAGGAACACCAGUGGCGAAGGCGACUACCUGGACUGAUACUGACACUGAGGUGCGAAAGCGUGGGGAGCAAACAGGAUUAGAUACCCGGGUAGUCC